Astyanax mexicanus (Mexican tetra) is the source of this 1128-nucleotide long non-coding RNA. RefSeq lists it as uncharacterized. The record is from RefSeq and is a predicted model, not a curated record. The transcript is spliced from 3 exons. Lineage: Eukaryota; Metazoa; Chordata; Actinopteri; Characiformes; Acestrorhamphidae.
UUGUCAGUUGUGCACCAAAGUGUUGGGCUGUCUGGUUCUUUUUUCCUGCUUUUGAAGAUGUCCCACUGAGAUGGCGUGUGUGACGGACCCAACCUACCUUCCUGACUGGAGAAGAGACCUGUCCUCUGCCUUAUUUUCCGCACACUGCUAACUGAUAUCACAGGCACACUACUGUGGCGCCUUACCUCUGGAAGGUUCUGAGCUGCUUGCGCAGGAGACUCUCCAGGUUGAGCACCUUCUGCAUGAGAAGACACUUCACAGCAGUCUCCUCCCGGCUGGCUGGGUUGAUGCGAUGUGCGGUCUGUCUCCAAACCAGAAUCUCAUGCUUCAACUCUGUAGAGGACAGGACAAAAUAACGGUCAACAAAAACACUAGGAGAACUGAGUGGUCUUCCAUUCAUGAGUAAACCUGGUUGGCUCUAAUGGAUUAUAACUUGGAUAAACGUGGAUAUCAUUUAUUUAGAGAUCUGCAAGGAUACAUGGUGCUAGUAGGUUCCUAAUGGACAUGCUGCAGAGUUCGUGGAAGCAUUCGUGUAGUUUUUUUUUUCCCUUAAGUGAGGUUUGAGGUUUAAUCUCUACGUUAAAACGUUUAUGUAUCAAUAAUUUUCUAAUGAAUACAAAUAGUUGAUCACAACAAAAUCUAUCCAACCAAUACUAUCCAGGAUUUUGAUGCCAUUAAACUAAAGAGAUGAACCUCUGCUUCAUUUAUAACACUUCUAUAACCCUGCUGAGAAGCACCAUAUCGUAUAUAAGUUCUCUGAAUAAGUUGGGACCCUUAAACAAACGUGGUAACACAUUUUCCAAUCAUAACAGCCGAUAAUACUCACCUCUGAGAGGCGAAAGAGCUAGUGUUUGGUGCGUUUAGCAGCUAAUGCUAAUACCUCUCUAGCCUCGGUGCCACAGGCUAAACUAAAACUCCUGUAUAACGCUGCACUUUAGUGGAGUGGCUUUACUGCUCUUUACAACCUGACAGGUAAAAUUCAUACAUAAGGCGCAUCGGAUUAAAAGGCACACUGACGAUUUUUUGGAAAAUUAUAGGAUUAAAAGUGCACCUUACAGUGCCAAAACUGCGUUUUCACUGCUUACGAAUUUGUUAUGAAGUUUCUAUUUAGGUACCCUUUAAGUUAAA